GUGGGGAAUAUUGCACAAUGGGGGAAACCCUGAUGCAGCGACGCCGCGUGAGUGAAGAAGUAUUUCGGUACGUAAAGCUCUAUCAGCAAGGAAGAAAAUGACGGUACUUGACUAAGAAGCCCCGGCUAACUACGUGCCAGCAGCCGCGGUAAUACAUAGGGGGCAAGCGUUAUCCGGAUUUACUGGGUGUAAAGGGAGCGUAGACGGUAUGGUAAGUCAGAUGUGAAAGCCCGGGGCUCAACCCCGGGACUGCAUUUGAAACUAUCAGACUAGAGUGCAGGAGAGGUAAGUGGAAUUCCUAGUGUAGCGGUGAAAUGCGUAGAUAUUAGGAGGAACACCAGUGGCGAAGGCGGCUUACUGGACUGUAACUGACGUUGAGGCUCGAAAGCGUGGGGAGCAAACAGGAUUAGAAACCCGGGUAGUCC
RNAcentral lists this ribosomal RNA (425 nucleotides) under uncultured bacterium. RNAcentral's name for it is "partial 16S ribosomal RNA". It matches the Rfam family "Bacterial small subunit ribosomal RNA", at positions 354 to 796 of the family's 1533-position model. The record is from RNAcentral.